This 1541-nucleotide long non-coding RNA is filed under the name Phascolarctos cinereus (koala). RNAcentral describes it as "lncRNA (ENSPCIG00000031321.1)". The record is from RNAcentral. Lineage: Eukaryota; Metazoa; Chordata; Mammalia; Diprotodontia; Phascolarctidae.
CCGUGUUUCAUCCGGGAGGGCCCGAUCUUGCAUCAACAACCGUAUUAUGCACACACACAUAUUUAGGUCCUAUAUAAACAUGCCAGCCAGCUUGUUUACUGCUCUAGUGUUAACAGGAUCUGUUUUGCAUGUUUUCCUCACCCCCGUGCAUCCCCACCCUGUUCACACACGCCCCCACCCUCGGCUUAAAAAAAAAGCCUUCAGCCUCUCAUCUAGGUAACCGUUUGAUUAUAUAAAAUGUUCUCCAAAAUAGCAGAGGUCCUGGAUUUGUGGGGUUUGGAGGCACUCGCCCCGCCAAACACUCUCACUAAAGCUUUUUUUUUCCUUAAAACUGAGGUGCGUGUGUUGUGUGUGUGUGUGUGUGUGUGUGUGUGUGUGUGUGAAAGGGGGGAGGAUAAGAUAGGUUGGAUGACUGACAAAAGAAAGGGGUGUGUGUGGAGGGGCUGGGAGAGAGAAAAAAGAGAUUGAUCAACACAGAAAUUGCAGCUUUAAUGAAAUGCAGAUUCUCCUAGCCCGCUGAUGAGAAACACUUGAAAAAUGCAAGCGCCAUUGGCAAACUCAAGACAAACAAGCAGAAUUUUUAUUAGCAACUAAAUGAUUUAUUGCAUACAUACCCCACCGUCACAAUUACAGCGUCUUGUAGCAUCCGGGUGUGAAAGCAUUAAACAUUUAUAAAAAUAUGCUUUCCCUCCAUCUCCGCCCUGCUCCCCCCCCCCCCGUAAGCGAUUAAACCCUUGUUUCUUCACGUCUGUAUUAUGUUUUAAAUUUUUUAAAAAUCCUCCACUCAAGAAUUUAAGACCUCCAAUUUCUGAGUGAGGGCGAAAGAAAAGGGGUGGCGGUGAGAGAUUCUUAAUCUGAAUACCGGUAUAUAUUCAAGGGGGGGGGAUGGUGUUUGAAUUUGCAAGGUUUUCAAAGAAUAAAGAACUACUUUUUAAAAAGCUUAGAGAGAGCGCCUGUCACUCAUUGCUGCUCCAGUGAUCGCUCGAGAUCCCUCGGCAUUCUGUUCAGGCAGCCAUAUAAGCUUCAGACUUGCAUUAAUUUUUCCUGCAAUCACCUCCCCCCAUCCCAAGUCUCUCGCACUCUCAUUCUCUCAGCACCCCCCCACCCCCACCCCUUCCCUCUCCCUUUUCAUCGGGAGGAUCCUCCAGCUAAUUUGGGAGCCGUGCGCUGUGGUGUCCUACCCAAGUCAGCGUCCUUUUCUCCGCCGAGUCCGAAGGCUGGCGAGCACGAGAGAGAUUUUGCUGAAAGGGCAGUAUGGAAAGUACAAAGUCUGGGGAAUUGGGGGGACUUUUACCCCUCCUUCCUCUCCCUCCAGUAAGCGCGGCCAGCAAAACAGUUAGGGGUUUGGCUGCUGCUUUCCUUUUAGCUAAACACAUCGUCCCCCGCCUGCAGCGCCUUCUUUCCAGUUGGGAGCAGAAAAUGAAGGGACAGAGAUCAGGGGUUUGAGAGGAAAGGAAUGGGGGUGUGGAGCGGCUGGAGAAGAGGACCUACGCCAAGAGUUUUUAAUAUUACAGUUUAAUAGGUUUCAGAAAGCCCCGCAG